UUUUCAUGUACUCUCAAAUCAUUAGGUCGACCAAAUUUAGGCCAAGUCUUUGAAUCCUAUGAAGAGGAGAGGUGAGAGAGCAGUCCCACAAAAAAAACUAUAUUUGAACGGGCUCAAGCACUAUGUAUGAUGACAGUACCUUUUGGUGGGUGUCAUUACUGUUUUUAUGAUAGCAUAAUGUGUUUAUGUUGUGUGCUUUUAUGGUCUGAGUGAAUGUUGUGUCCAAAUUAUUUGAGCAGAUUUGUAACAGGUAAAAUAACCUGUGCAAUAACCUGUAUGUGGCCUAAACAAUGUAAGCUUGGUUAAUCAGCACUAAGAUUCUCUUAAUUUCCUAGAAUAUGUCCACCAGGAGGUUUAACACAGCUGCUACAUUACACGAAAUUAGAAUGUUCCAAAUUAAACCAAUCUGAAAUGGGAACAGUUCUAACAAAUGUGUUGAGGUGCUUUAUGGGAAGAGAGUGUAGCCACCUCCCACUUCCUCGUUCUGUGUUCUGUUUCUGUUUGGAACGUUGUAUUCAUGUCGAUUUAGUUGUCAUUACUGAUCCAUUUUGUGUACAGUGUGUAGAUUUCUAGUUUUUUAUUAACCUUGUAUGUUUUUUCGUUCAAACAGUAAUCGAUUGGAAUCUAGUGCGUCUAAAUCGUAAAACGGCGAGUUGGAACCUGUUAGAAUUUAGGAUUAAAUUUAACAAACAAACCGAGGGGUGAUGGGGCAGGUUAGUGACCCACAUGGUUUCAUCACCCCCUCUAGACUCUGUCAGACAGCAGCGGUGCAGAGAGCUUGAUGCAUGGCGGAGAGAGUCUUGUGUGUGUCUGGGGUCGUGCCAGGAGAGUUGGGGUCAGCUAAAGAACCACUUAGGCUUCUCUCUGCUCUCUGAGCUUGCCCACUGUAUACUGCUGAGGGGAGACUGCUGCCCAUGGGGACCUCCAGAGAAUCCCUACAUUGCCUCAUCCUAUUGGUCCACAGCCAACAGUGUGUCCCUUCCCACCUUCCCACCCAUCCCCCAGGCUGACGCUGUUAGGGGAGAACCUGGCACGCAGUGGAGCCAGCUGAAGGGAGAGGCAGUGAAGAAGAUGCACACAGCACUUUCCACCUCAGAUGGGUUGCGAAGGACUGUAGCUCUCCAGAGAAUGGCCUCUCCCUAGGUACUCAGUGGAAAGAAGUGAGAGAACACCUGGAUGAUUUAGAAUCUGAACUACGUGUCUGCAUUAUGUCUCCGAUGGAGGACAUGUGCUCUCAUGGCUAAUUAGUCAGAGUAGCUGUGACUAACAGAGAGGGAGAUAGGAAUCCAAGGUACGAAAGAAGCUGGGUGUUACUGGGAAGGGUCAUCUUACUGCAAAGAGUCCCAAUGGUCGUGGUGAGGCAAGGCCUGUGGUGACCCAAGAGGAGGCACAGCUGCCACGAUAAAAGGACUUCACACCCAUAACUCCAGACAGAGCAACACGAGAGGUUCAUAAGCAAUAUUCUUUAGAAUUUCCUGAUAAGUUCUAAAGAUCAGUUUUGAUUCAACAUCAGUAUGUUGUUUGUCUGCAUUCAGGAAGUAAGAAUGCACAGGACGUGCCUGCUUCAGGAAGUGACACAAUAUCACAAUAUCAGCGUCUUUGAAGUCACUGAAGGGUUGGUAAUGUUGAAAAUUGUGGUUAUGAACACAGUCUUUAAAAUAUGUAUUUUAAAAUCAAAAUAAACCCAACAUCAUGAGGAUCUGAUUAUUUUUUCGUAGCCAAGUGCCUAUGAAAUGUGACCAUGAUGGUGAAUCGGACGAUGAUAAGAAGCACGUCUCCAAAAACGUAAAGAAAAAUGUCCCUUCAACCAUCAGGUUUUAAUGACAUGUCAGGUUUUAAUGACAUGUUAAAUAAUUAAAGAACAUAAAAUGUGUAGGAUUCUUUGAAAAAUGAAUGACCACUUUGAAGCAUUUCAAUGUGAUGUAACUGUAGUACCAGAUAUAAGAUAAAGGAAAGGGAAAAGCAGUUAAGUAAAAGCAGACAGAUAGACAAGGGGAGGUGGGGACUUUUCAUAGCAACAGGUGGCAUUUUGUUGUAAUUUCUCACUUCCUUUAUUUGCCAUGUUUUAUUAUUUUAUCACAAACCUUAAAAUGUACUUUCAAAAGAAAUGCUGGAAUUAAUAUCUUAAAAGUGAACAUGGUUGAAAGGAUUUCUAUAACCACCUAUAUAGAGGAGAGACAGCUUAACAUUUUCGUUAUAAAAAGAAAAGGUUUGUGCAUUAUAACUUAGAAGUUGUGUCAAACAGUUUAUUAAAAAUCUAUGUUUUUUCACUGCUCUAUUCCCAUUAGCCUUUCGUCAUCCUAAUGUCAUGUUCCCAGAAAAACAACACCCAAAGCAAUUUUGCCUUGCAAGUUGACAGCUGUGGUAAAAUGGUUUCCUCUUGGCAUUACCUCAAUGAGAGUCCAGCAGUAUAGCUAAACAUGACCACUCACUAAAAAACAUAAACCACAAGGUAAAACAAUAAAUCCAUUCAAUCUUAUCUCAUUCAGGAUCAUAUGAAAUACCAGCCCUUCCACCAGAGGACAUUCACCUGCUCUGACACUUGCUGUGGGAAACCAUUCAACUUUAAGAAUCACCUGAUGUAGCACGAGAAAGUGCACAGCAGUGAGACUCAACAUUGCCAUGAUGAUUCUUUAUUGACGUCUUUUGUUUCUGUACAACAUGCAGACAUAAUGGUUAUCUGAGUAGCUAAUUGUAAGACCCUCUGUUUCUUCAGUCCAAUAGAAAGAACCCAGGGCCCUGGCUAUAUAGUAUUUUCUUCCCUGAUCA
This is a long non-coding RNA of Esox lucius (northern pike), 2769 nucleotides long. RefSeq lists it as uncharacterized. Lineage: Eukaryota; Metazoa; Chordata; Actinopteri; Esociformes; Esocidae. The transcript is spliced from 3 exons. The record is from RefSeq and is a predicted model, not a curated record.